AUGCACGCUGGCGGCGUGCCUAAUACAUGCAAGUCGCGCUAACAGAUGAGGAGCUUGCUCCUCUGACGUUAGCGGCGGACGGGUGAGUAACACGUGGAUAACCUACCUAUAAGACUGGGAUAACUUCGGGAAACCGGAGCUAAUACCGGAUAAUAUAUUGAACCGCAUGGUUCAAUAGUGAAAGACGGUUUUGCUGUCACUUAUAGAUGGAUCCGCGCCGCAUUAGCUAGUUGGUAAGGUAACGGCUUACCAAGGCGACGAUGCGUAGCCGACCUGAGAGGGUGAUCGGCCACACUGGAACUGAGACACGGUCCAGACUCCUACGGGAGGCAGCAGUAGGGAAUCUUCCGCAAUGGGCGAAAGCCUGACGGAGCAACGCCGCGUGAGUGAUGAAGGUCUUCGGAUCGUAAAACUCUGUUAUUAGGGAAGAACAAAUGUGUAAGUAACUAUGCACGUCUUGACGGUACCUAAUCAGAAAGCCACGGCUAACUACGUG
This 496-nucleotide ribosomal RNA is filed under the name uncultured bacterium. RNAcentral's name for it is "partial 16S ribosomal RNA". It matches the Rfam family "Bacterial small subunit ribosomal RNA", at positions 29 to 507 of the family's 1533-position model. The record is from RNAcentral.